AAUUCUAUUGUUAACGGAGUUAUUAUAUAGAGGAAAGGAUUGUAGCCCUCAAAGUAAAGUCGUUGCAUUGUGAUUGCAUGGACUUUAGUGUGAACUGUGACUAUCAGUAUUUAUUAUUCCUUGGCCUCUUUGCAAACAUGUGACAUUAUUUGAGUAGUUUAUUUAUGAGUAUCCAGCUUACUUCUUUAUGGUUUAUGCAGCAAUAAGGCAGUUGUUCAGAGCUGUUCUUUUUUAAAUUUUAGAAGGAGCUUAGUGCGACGAGAAAUUAGGGAGGGUGAACUAAAAAAACCAAUGGGUUUUGAAAUGUUAGAAUUUUUUUUUUGUUAUGUCACUAAAAUGCCAGUGCCAACCGACAUGUUUUGGUCAUGUGUAUCAAAGACCAAUGGUAGCAUCAUUGAGGAGUGAGUUGGUACAAGUUGAAGUGUAAGUUGGCUUAGUUGACUUAGUCAACUGACAUGUUUUAUGUUGCUACAUGAAUUCAUGGUCCAAGAAAGAGGCUUGCACUAUUGGAAUCCUUUUCGUCUGUGGUUGCUUUCUGCAGUGUUUAUUACCUUCUCUCUUUUUCUUUUUGGGAAUAGCAAAAACUCUUACUUUUAUUUGUUUAGGCAGAGAGAAAUAUAUUUUCAGAAGUGAAUGUAAGAAAAAAGAAAAAUGUGUAGUUGCAAUAGUAUAUGCAUAUAGAAUGUGAUAGAACCCAAAAGAAACUGUACAUAGCUGAAAAAAGGAACAGCUCAUCUCUCAUGGAUAGUCAUUGAAGAAUUGCAUGUCCAUUGGAAGUCCUUCGGAAAUCAAUCCAUGUCUCAAAAGUCGUCUGUAGCUUUAGCCUACUUAAUGAUGCUUCCAGUGAUAAAAUUAUAUGUGGCCCAUUUUGGGCAUUAUUUGCAAAGAUAAGAUUAUUCCUUUCCUUUAAACCCAAGAGAUGCCAUAAGUAUUUCUAUUGAUCAUUGUAUAGAAAAUAUGCAGACUUACAAUAUCUGUAUUUUUAGAGGUAUAUCUUUCUAUGCAGUUUAUACAAA
This is a long non-coding RNA of Telopea speciosissima, 1016 nucleotides long. RefSeq lists it as uncharacterized. Lineage: Eukaryota; Viridiplantae; Streptophyta; Magnoliopsida; Proteales; Proteaceae. The transcript is spliced from 2 exons. The record is from RefSeq and is a predicted model, not a curated record.